Molecule: ribosomal RNA, 253 nt
Filed under: uncultured bacterium
Lineage: Bacteria
Description: partial 16S ribosomal RNA
Rfam family: Bacterial small subunit ribosomal RNA
Source: RNAcentral
UACGGAGGGUGCAAGCGUUAAUCGGAAUUACUGGGCGUAAAGCGCACGCAGGCGGUCAAUUAAGUCAGAUGUGAAAGCCCCGAGCUUAACUUGGGAAUUGCAUUUGAAACUGGUUAGCUAGAGUCUUGUAGAGGGGGGUAGAAUUCCAGGUGUAGCGGUGAAGUGCGUAGAGAUUUGGAGGAAUACCGGUUGCGAAGGCGGCGCCCUGGACGAAGACUGACGCUCAGGUGCGAAAGCGUGGGGAGCAAACAGG